RNAcentral lists this ribosomal RNA (497 nucleotides) under uncultured bacterium. Its description in RNAcentral is "partial 16S ribosomal RNA". It matches the Rfam family "Bacterial small subunit ribosomal RNA", at positions 28 to 507 of the family's 1533-position model. The record is from RNAcentral.
GAUGAACGCUGGCGGCGUGCCUAAUACAUGCCAGUCGAGCGAACGGACGAGAAGCUUGCUUCUCUGAUGUUAGCGGCGGACGGGUGAGUAACACGUGGAUAACCUACCUAUAAGACUGGGAUAACUUCGGGAAACCUGAGCUAAUACCGGAUAAUAUUUUGAACCGCAUGGUUCAAAAGUGAAAGACGGUCUUGCUUUCACUUAUACAUGGCUCCGCGCUGCAUUAGCUAGUUGUUAAGGUAACGGCUUACCAAGGCCACGAUGCAUAGCCGACCUGAGAGGGUGAUCGGCCACACUGGAACUGAGACACGGUCGAGACUCCUACGGGAGGCCGCAGUAGGGAAUCUUACGCAAUGGGCGAAAGCGUGACGGAGCAACGCGGCGUGAGUGAUGAAGGUCUUAGGAUCGUAAAACUCUGUUAUUAGGGAAGAACAUAUGUGUAAGUAACUGUGAACAUCUUGACGGUACCUAAUAAGAAAGCGACGGCUAACUACGUG